GGGCGCCAGAUGACGAGCUACGGAGGACCGUGGUGGCAGAUGAGCAUCCGCCGAAAAUCCACCAACAAGCAGCAAUGUCAAUAGGCGUCACUGCCAAAAUACU
Non-coding RNA from Chelonoidis abingdonii (Abingdon island giant tortoise), 103 nucleotides. The record is from RefSeq and is a predicted model, not a curated record. NCBI's taxonomy places the organism in Eukaryota, Metazoa, Chordata, Testudines, Testudinidae.